Molecule: ribosomal RNA, 465 nt
Filed under: uncultured bacterium
Lineage: Bacteria
Description: partial 16S ribosomal RNA
Rfam family: Bacterial small subunit ribosomal RNA
Source: RNAcentral
GACGAACGCUGGCGGCGUGCUUAACACAUGCAAGUCGAACGGAAAGGCCCUGCUUGCAGGGUACUCGAGUGGCGAACGGGUGAGUAAUACGUGGGUGAUCUGCCCUGCACUUCGGGAUAAGCCUGGGAAACUGGGUCUAAUACCGGAUAGGAGCCAUUUUUAGUGUGAUGGUUGGAAAGUUUUUUCGGUGUAGGAUGAGCUCGCGGCCUAUCAGCUUGUUGGUGGGGUAAUGGCCUACCAAGGCGGCGACGGGUAGCCGGCCUGAGAGGGUGGACGGCCACAUUGGGACUGAGAUACGGCCCAGACUCCUACGGGAGGCAGCAGUGGGGAAUAUUGCACAAUGGGCGCAAGCCUGAUGCAGCGACGCCGCGUGGGGGAUGACGGCCUUCGGGUUGUAAACUCCUUUCGCUAGGGACGAAGCUUUUUGUGACGGUACCUAGAGAAGAAGCACCGGCUAACUACGUG